RNAcentral lists this ribosomal RNA (469 nucleotides) under uncultured Sphingobacteriales bacterium. Its description in RNAcentral is "bacterial SSU rRNA". It matches the Rfam family "Bacterial small subunit ribosomal RNA", at positions 910 to 1382 of the family's 1533-position model. The record is from RNAcentral. Lineage: Bacteria; Pseudomonadati; Bacteroidota; Sphingobacteriia; Sphingobacteriales.
UUGACGGGGGCCCGCACAAGCGGUGGAGCAUGUGGUUUAAUUCGAUGAUACGCGAGGAACCUUACCUGGGCUCAAAUGUAUGUUGACGUAUUCUGAAAGGGAUACUUCUUCGGACAAUAUACAAGGUGCUGCAUGGUUGUCGUCAGCUCGUGCCGUGAGGUGUCGGGUUAAGUCCCAUAACGAGCGCAACCCCUAUCAUUAGUUGCCAUCAGGUCAAGCUGGGGACUCUAAUGAAACUGCCUACGCAAGUAGUGAGGAAGGUGGGGAUGACGUCAAAUCAGCACGGCCCUUACGUCCAGGGCUACACACGUGCUACAAUGGCCGGUACAAAGGGCAGCUACCUGGUGACAGGAUGCUAAUCUCAAAAGCCGGUCUCAGUUCGGAUCGCAGUCUGCAACUCGACUGCGUGAAGUCGGAAUCGCUAGUAAUCGUGAAUCAGAAUGUCACGGUGAAUACGUUCCCGGGCCUU